RNAcentral lists this ribosomal RNA (252 nucleotides) under uncultured bacterium. RNAcentral describes it as "partial 16S ribosomal RNA". It matches the Rfam family "Bacterial small subunit ribosomal RNA", at positions 524 to 776 of the family's 1533-position model. The record is from RNAcentral.
UACGUAGGUCCCGAGCGUUGUCCGGAUUUAUUGGGCGUAAAGCGAGCGCAGGUGGUUUAUUAAGUCUGGUGUAAAAGGCAGUGGCUCAACCAUUGUAUGCAUUGGAAACUGGUAGACUUGAGUGCAGGAGAGGAGAGUGGAAUUCCAUGUGUAGCGGUGAAAUGCGUAGAUAUAUGGAGGAACACCGGUGGCGAAAGCGGAUUACUGGACGAUAACUGACGGUGAGGCGCGAAAGCGUGGGGAGCAAACAGG